GCCGGGCAUGGUGGCUCGUGCCUGUAAUCCCAGCAAUUUGGGAGGCUGAGGCGGGUGGAUCACUUGAGGUCAGGAGUUCGAGACUAGCCUGGCCAACAUGGUGAAACCCCUGGCCAACAUGGUGAAACCCCGCCUCUA
Molecule: non-coding RNA, 138 nt
Organism: Homo sapiens (human)
Lineage: Eukaryota; Metazoa; Chordata; Mammalia; Primates; Hominidae
Rfam family: Metazoan signal recognition particle RNA
About the family: The signal recognition particle (SRP) is a universally conserved ribonucleoprotein. It is involved in the co-translational targeting of proteins to membranes.
Source: Rfam